AGUGGAUGGGGAACAACCUAGUUGUGCGUGUGUAAAGGUAGUGCCAAGAAAAGCGGUGAUCAUGAUGAAAAUCAAUUCCCGGUACCCGAAACCGACACAGGUGGGCAAGUAGAGAAUACUAAGGGGCGCGAGGUAACUCUCUCCAAGGAACUCGGCAAAAUGACCCCGUAACUUAGGGAGAAGGGGUGCCACCGAGAGGUGGUCGCAGUGAAGAGGCCCAGGCGACUGUUUAGCAAAAACAUAGGUCUCUGCAAACUCGAAAGAGGAGGUAUAGGGGCUGACGCCUGCCCAGUGCCGGAAGGUUAAAGAAGUUGGUCAGUCUUAGGAUGAAGCUAGCGACUGAAGCCCCGGUGAACGGCGGCCGUAACUAUAACGGUCCUAAGGUAGCGAAAUUCCUUGUCGGGUAAGUUCCGACCCGCACGAAAGGCGUAACGAUCUGGGCGCUGUCUCGGAGAGAGGCUCGGCGAAAUAGGAUUGUCUGUGAAGAUACGGACUACCUGCAUUUGGACAGAAAGACCCUAUGAAGCUUUACUAUAGCUUGGAAUUGUGUUCGGGCUUCCUGUGCGCAGGAUAGGUGGGAGGCGUAGAAGGUAUUCUUGUGGGGAUACUGGAGGCAACGGUGAGAUACCACUCUCAGGAGGCUAGAAUUCUAACUUAAUUAAGGACAGUUUCAGGUGGGUAGUUUGACUGGGGCGGUCGCCUCCAAAAAGGUAACGGAGGCGUACAAAGGUUCCCUCAGACUGGUUGGAAAUCAGUCGCAGAGUGCAAAGGCAGAAGGGAGCUUGACUGCGAGAAGUACAGUUCGAGCAGGGUGGAAACACGGUCUUAGUGAUCCGACGGUGCUGUGUGGAAGGGCCGUCGCUCAACGGAUAAAAGUUACUCUAGGAUAACAGGCUGAUCUCCCCCAAGAGUUCACAUCGACGGGGAGGUUUGGCACCUCGAUGUCGGCUCAUCGCAACCUGGGGCGGAAGUACGUCCCAAGGGUUGGGCUGUUCGCCCAUUAAAGCGGUACGUGAGCUGGGUUCAGAACGUCGUGAGACAGUUCGGUCCAUAUCCGAUGUAGGCGUGAGAAUAUUGAGAGGAGCCUUCCUUAGUACGAGAGGACCGGGAAGGACGCACCGCUGGUGUACCUGUUAUGAUGCCAAUUGUAAACGCAGGGUAGCCAAGUGCAGAGAGGAUAACCGCUGAAAGCAUCUAAGUGGGAAGCCCACCUCAAGAUGAGUAUUCUGGUGUAAGGUCACGGAAGACGACCCGUAAAUAGGCACGAGGUGGAAGUGCAGAGAUGUAUGAAGCCGAAGUGUACUAAUAGACCGUCGGCUUGACCA
This 1325-nucleotide ribosomal RNA is filed under the name metagenome. RNAcentral's name for it is "bacterial LSU rRNA". It matches the Rfam family "Bacterial large subunit ribosomal RNA", at positions 1561 to 2925 of the family's 2925-position model. The record is from RNAcentral.